Molecule: long non-coding RNA, 259 nt
Filed under: Gallus gallus (chicken)
Lineage: Eukaryota; Metazoa; Chordata; Aves; Galliformes; Phasianidae
Description: lncRNA (ENSGALG00010025366.1)
Source: RNAcentral
GCCAUAAAACCUUCAGAGAAGGAUUACUUCACUUUUUUCCCCCCUCUGUUUUAAUGUGGCUGUCUGGAAGAAGUGUUUGCACUAAUGAAGCCUGCUGAACAAGAGAAUCCUUACAAAAGCUGGCUGCCUUUGCAAGAGUCCCGGGCAGCUGCCACCAGCUCCAGGAGGCGCCCUGAGCUUGCUCCAAGCAGAAUUAGUGAUGGAAGAGCUUUGUGCUUAGUCGUUCCAGAUGCUCUACCAGCCAACCCAAGGAACUGGG